AGUUUGAUCCUGGCUCAGGAUGAACGCUAGCUACAGGCUUAACACAUGCAAGUCGAGGGGCAGCAUGAACUUAGCUUGCUAAGUUUGAUGGCGACCGGCGCACGGGUGAGUAACACGCAUCCAACCUGCCGAUGACUCGGGGAUAGCCUUUCGAAAGAAAGAUUAAUACCCGAUGGCAUAGUUCUUCCGCAUGGUAGAACUAUUAAAGAAUUUCGGUCAUCGAUGGGGAUGCGUUCCAUUAGGUUGUUGGCGGGGUAAUGGCCCACCAAGCCUUCGAUGGAUAGGGGUUCUGAGAGGAAGGUCCCCCACAUUGGAACUGAGACACGGUCCAAACUCCUACGGGAGGCAGCAGUGAGGAAUAUUGGUCAAUGGACGAGAGUCUGAACCAGCCAAGUAGCGUGAAGGAUGACUGCCCUAUGGGUUGUAAACUUCUUUUAUACGGGAAUAAAGUGAGGCACGUGUGCCUUUUUGUAUGUACCGUAUGAAUAAGGAUCGGCUAACUCCGUGCCAGCAGCCGCGGUAAUACGGAGGAUCCGAGCGUUAUCCGGAUUUAUUGGGUUUAAAGGGAGCGUAGGCGGACGCUUAAGUCAGUUGUGAAAGUUUGCGGCUCAACCGUAAAAUUGCAGUUGAUACUGGGUGUCUUGAGUACAGUAGAGGCAGGCGGAAUUCGUGGUGUAGCGGUGAAAUGCUUAGAUAUCACGAAGAACUCCGAUUGCGAAGGCAGCUUGCUGGACUGUAACUGACGCUGAUGCUCGAAAGUGUGGGUAUCAAACAGGAUUAGAUACCCUGGUAGUCCACACAGUAAACGAUGAAUACUCGCUGUUUGCGAUAUACAGUAAGCGGCCAAGCGAAAGCGUUAAGUAUUCCACCUGGGGAGUACGCCGGCAACGGUGAAACUCAAAGGAAUUGACGGGGGCCCGCACAAGCGGAGGAACAUGUGGUUUAAUUCGAUGAUACGCGAGGAACCUUACCCGGGCUUGAAUUGCAACUGAAUGAUGUGGAGACAUGUCAGCCGCAAGGCAGUUGUGAAGGUGCUGCAUGGUUGUCGUCAGCUCGUGCCGUGAGGUGUCGGCUUAAGUGCCAUAACGAGCGCAACCCUUAUCGAUAGUUACCGUCAGGUGAUGCUGGGGACUCUGUCGAGACUGCCGUCGUAAGAUGUGAGGAA
Molecule: ribosomal RNA, 1165 nt
Filed under: uncultured Bacteroides sp.
Lineage: Bacteria; Pseudomonadati; Bacteroidota; Bacteroidia; Bacteroidales; Bacteroidaceae
Description: bacterial SSU rRNA
Rfam family: Bacterial small subunit ribosomal RNA
Source: RNAcentral